RNAcentral lists this ribosomal RNA (519 nucleotides) under uncultured eukaryote. RNAcentral describes it as "SSU rRNA". It matches the Rfam family "Eukaryotic small subunit ribosomal RNA", at positions 1161 to 1701 of the family's 1831-position model. The record is from RNAcentral.
AGGGCACCACCAGGAGUGGAGCCUGCGGCCUAAUUUGACUCAACACGGGAAAACUCACCCGGCCCGGACACCGAAAGGAUUGACAGAUUGAUAGCUCUUUCUUGAUUCGGUGGGUGGUGGUGCAUGGCCGUUCUUAGUUGGUGGAGCGAUUUGUCUGGUUAAUUCCGAUAACGAACGAGACUCUAGCCUACUAAAUAGUUCGCCGAUGGCCGUCUGUCGGCGCUAACUUCUUAGAGGGACAAGUGGCGUUCAGUCACGCGAGAUUGAGCAAUAACAGGUCUGUGAUGCCCUUAGAUGUUCGGGGCCGCACGCGCGCUACACUGAAGGAGUCAACGUGUGUUCUUCCUGAUCCGAUAGGACCGGGUAACCCGAUGAACGUCCUUCGUGCUAGGGAUUGGGGCUUGUAAUUCUUCCCCAUGAACGAGGAAUUCCCAGUAAGCGCGACUCAUUAGGUCGCGUUGAUUACGUCCCUGCCCUUUGUACACACCGCCCGUCGCUACUACCGAUUGGAUGGCUUAG